Tribolium madens (black flour beetle) is the source of this 345-nucleotide long non-coding RNA. RefSeq lists it as uncharacterized. NCBI's taxonomy places the organism in Eukaryota, Metazoa, Arthropoda, Insecta, Coleoptera, Tenebrionidae. The record is from RefSeq and is a predicted model, not a curated record. The transcript has 3 exons.
GUCAGCUUCAAAUGAAUCAUAUCAAAAUAUUUUCUAACGUCAAAUAUUGUUUUCAAUUUGAUAGGAGUACUUUUUUAUAUCAUACCGGAAAGAUCUCAUCUACAGAAAGUUUGUUGCUGCCAUCGAGUCCAGUAUAUCCGUGACCAACGAUUCGAUGUUUUAGUAUUUAUCAGGAGUCAACGACGAGCCACUGUCGGGGAAAAAAAUACUUUCUUCCCUUUCUAAGCAACUACUAUGUCUAACACCAAAACAGAACCUGUGGCUUUGYGAUAGAAUUAUUUCCAAGGGAGUAAAGUUUUUUUCCUCUAAAACUUCUUUGUUUGAAGUUUAAAAACAAUUUCUUGU